CUCAACUGAUAUAACAAACUUGCCCUGUAGGGUGAUGGAUUAAGCAGAAGGCUUGAAUCUAUGCUACUUCCUGUGUGGCCAUGCUCCCAUUGGAUCAACCCAACCAGAAGACAGAAGGCAAAGGAUUCCAGGUGAUACAGUCUGUAGAGGUCAGCCUCCUGGGGAACAAAGUAGGUCAGCAAGAGGCAGCAAAUGGACAUAGGAGAAGAAAUAGGAAUCACCUCAGGAUGCACGCGGCAUGAAAGAGGUCCAGAAGCCCUUAUGUGCUCACAGUGAGGAACAGAAGAGAUUGCUGAGAUGCAGGAAAAACAAUCCAGCAGCAAAAUGUCAUCAAUACAGUGGCCCAAUGUGAUGCUUUGCGGACUCUCAAGACAAUCAAGAUCUCUGUGGAUUAUGUUAUGGCAGAGAACAAGAGAAUUGAUGUAUUCUUGAGGCAUGGCUGGGAAGGUAGACUGUUGUCCCUGAUAGGUAAAAGCAAGCUGCUUCUGAUUGUCCUUAUACAUUGGUAUGGGGUGCAGGGAGGCAUUAGGCAAUUUAAUAGCUGCUUACUAAGUGCCAGGGCCGUGUUGAUUGUUCCAGUAAAGAUACUACAUCUGAAAGAGCAACUUUGGUGGGAAUCACCACCUGAUGAAGUUUAUAAUAGUUAGGAUCUCAUUUUUCAAGAUCCAUCUGACUUCUGCAUAGGAGAAACUGGAAAGCUAAAUGGGAGAUAUAAUAAGUAACAGUAUUCCUACUUUUUUCAAGAUUUCAAAGGCAUUAAUCUUUGCAAUUUCCCCAGUGAUGUGUUAUUGCUUCAGGUUCACCACAGCAGUAAGAGGGGAAGUUCCAAGUGUUUCUACUUAGUCUUUCCUACCAUAAUGAUCCUCAUCCCAUUGCUCAGAGAGCCAAUAUGGGGAUUCUGCAAGUUGUCAAGUGUGUCUAUUUAAAUGACAAAUUUAGAGACUGAGAACAUAACCCACAGGGUAGAUUUGUGGACAGACUGGGUCUACCAUGAGUCUGACUUGAGCUGAAAUGCUAUCACUUGACACUACAACCCCCAUUUUGGGCCACAGUAGCAUUUUGGGUCCCCAGGACUUAGCAUCAGUUCAGAGCCCGUGGAUAGUAAUCUCUGAAAAUUUCUUUUUCCUCCUAACACAGUCACUCUAGCAAAUGGCUGCAGGUCCUUUGGGGGAAUGCUUAGAGGAAGAUUCACUGUGUGUACCUGAGACAAUAGUGUAGAGCCAUUCUUCAGUAACACCUCACAUCCCCUACAAUAGAAGGGCUCUUUGCGUGUGAAUUGACUUAGGUUUCAAAACUAAGUGAGAGCCAUGACUCUUCACAGUCGAGACUGCCGGAUUUUUGGCUACCAGAUCUAGAAUGUUUCCUGUUACAGAAGUCAAACAGUUCUCUAGUAGGGUGCCCAUCUAUUUCAUUCCUAGGACUCCAUGAUCAAUUAAACAUUAUCAAAGACCUCUGUGGACCAAGACAUUCUAAUUACUGGGACAUUCCCUACUGCCCUUUAAGAUAGAUGUGCCCACCUGGUCUUAGUUAAGUGCUGCCAUUUGUCUUCUGCUACUUCAGGAUCCCAUCAUUUUCAUUGGAAUCAGGGAGCCUGUAUCAAUGGUGACAUUCCCUGUGGUUGAAUCUGUCAUUCAAAGAGAUCAACCACAGAGCUUUCAGGGACACAUAUACUCCCCUCUUGAGGCCUUAGUCAAGGCCGUGUCUCCUGGGCCUUCUCAUGGAACGCAGUUGGUGGGCGGGUGUGCAGGCUGCACAUGAUAAAUCCAGUCAAAACUUCU
This is an RNA transcript of Balaenoptera musculus (blue whale), 1778 nucleotides long. It is a transcript of the gene named prodynorphin, with no coding region annotated. The record is from RefSeq and is a predicted model, not a curated record. The transcript has 4 exons. Lineage: Eukaryota; Metazoa; Chordata; Mammalia; Artiodactyla; Balaenopteridae.